AGUGAACGCUGGCGGUAGGCCUAACACAUGCAAGUCGAACGGCAGCACAGUAAGAGCUUGCUCUUACGGGUGGCGAGUGGCGGACGGGUGAGGAAUACAUCGGAAUCUACUUUUUCGUGGGGGAUAACGUAGGGAAACUUACGCUAAUACCGCAUACGACCUACGGGUGAAAGCAGGGGAUCUUCGGACCUUGCGCGAUUGAAUGAGCCGAUGUCGGAUUAGCUAGUUGGCGGGGUAAAGGCCCACCAAGGCGACGAUCCGUAGCUGGUCUGAGAGGAUGAUAAGCCACACUGGAACUGAGACACGGUCCAGACUCCUACGGGAGGCAGCAGUGGGGAAUAUUGGACAAUGGGCGCAAGCCUGAUCCAGCCAUACCGCGUGGGUGAAGAAGGCCUUCGGGUUGUGAAGCCCUUUUGUUGGGAAAGAAAAGCAGCAGGUUAAUACCCCGCUGUUCUGACGGUACCCAAAGAAUAAGCACCGGCUAACUUCGUG
RNAcentral lists this ribosomal RNA (492 nucleotides) under uncultured bacterium. Its description in RNAcentral is "partial 16S ribosomal RNA". It matches the Rfam family "Bacterial small subunit ribosomal RNA", at positions 29 to 507 of the family's 1533-position model. The record is from RNAcentral.